GAGGCAGCAACAUCAGCUGACUGAGCUCCUGCUCAAGGACCUGGAGGUCGGUCAGUCGUGGCUCUGAAUCCCACAUCUGUCCACGUUUCUUCACAGAAGUGCCAAAAGAAACACAAUAAGCCUGAUGUUACACACCAUCUGAGGUUCUCAGACUGCCAUCCUCAUGCCAUGUCCUCUCUGGAAGAACACAGCUGAACCCACCGGAUUCUACGACUCUGGUCGAUCCAUCUCAGGCAACCCUGUUCCUGCUGCCCCUGCUCUGGAAUUCAUGGCCUCAUCAUCCUCACUUCUGCAUUCAAUGACUUACAAUGGAAAGAAUUUCAUGGGCUUUUAUUUUGACUUAGUAUUACUUCCCCCUCUUGCCUGUUUACAUAGCUGCCUUUUCUUCACUAACACAACAGCUCCCCAUGGAGGGUCACUGUCAGAGUUCACAGCUCACACCACAACCACACUAAAAAAGCUCAACCCUAGCAGAGGUUACAGCCUCCCAAUUAAGUGGAACAUCCUUUUCCUUUCUAGGAUUCCCCUUCAGAGUUCUCCGGUAGGUCACUUCUCCUCAUUUGGCAAUGACUGACUAUGCAGCCACCCUUUUAUUCGUUAUUAUUUUAGUAGUGCCUUCAGGCCUUCACUGGGUCAGAGCUCCAUUGUGCUAGGCACUAUCCACCCAGAAGGAGACAGCCCUGCACAAAUGACUUGGCAAUAGACAAGGCAGAUGGGAAAAGUUCAGCACAGAGCAGGGAAGAGACUUACCUCUGGUUGCAAUUCAGGUUCUGCUGCUUCCCUAAGACAUAGGCCAGUAACUUUUGAGUUUGACGUACAGCCUGUGCAAUACAUAGGCUAUCAACACACAAUUCUGCUUUAAGCUAUCUUUGUAACUCCUGGGUGACCUAUUCAGCUCUGGUAUUGAUGAGUGUGAGAGCCUAUGUUUGCAGGACAGGAGAGAGGGGGUGUAGAUUGGGAUGAAACCCUGGCAUCCAAAGCGGAUAUAACUAGAAAUAAAACCACCUCAAAACCAUUUCUCCUGAUUUCUCCCUCUUCACCAGCAUGUUUAUGUAAUCAGGAUCUGGCUCAUAACCAACCCCGUUUUCCAGACUAAGAAUGCCAAAAGAAGUGUUACAAACCCCAUAUAGCGGUGUUUUUUUACAUCCUUCGGUGGCAACACUUCAAGACAGUAGAUUAGUCCUGCUCUCUAGAUCAUCAGUACAGCAUUGCCUAGAAAGCUAUAUUAAGUCCUGGACACCUCUAACUGAAAGGCACCAAUACACUGAAAGCACCUUACAGAAAGCAAAAAAAGGUGUUGGGUUGGGAGGAAAGAUUCAAAGUGGAGCUUGCCCAGUUCACAGCACUUUGUAGUCCAAAUGGCAACACACUAACAUGCAGGGCUGUUUGAAGCAAGUGUUCUGAUUCAGUCCAUCUGCAAAAGCCACAGUUAGUAGUUCACUUAUGAUCUAAAUGUGUCCAUGUCAGGAGAGCUCACGUGGUUUUCACGCACCUUCCAAAAUAUUGGAAAAAGCUAAUUAAACUAUAAACAUAUAACACUCCAAUUUGGAAUAUUCCUCUUUGCAUUUUUUCUUUACCAGAUUUUGCUGAUAAAGUUUUUUAUUUUUAC
Alligator sinensis (Chinese alligator) is the source of this 1609-nucleotide long non-coding RNA. RefSeq lists it as uncharacterized. The transcript is spliced from 3 exons. Lineage: Eukaryota; Metazoa; Chordata; Crocodylia; Alligatoridae. The record is from RefSeq and is a predicted model, not a curated record.